CAUACAUUGCACCGGUAUCUCUGUUGGAACUGAUUCUCCGGUCCCAAUUUCAUUCCUUGCAUGACAGGAAUACACUUUAUUUUCAAAGCUCACGUUUCUAACUGUGAUCUGCUUUGUUUCAUAUGACGUAAUGAUCUUUUCGGUUCCUUUGUACCAUUCAUAGGAUGUAACAUCGGGAUUCGAUUUGCUGUUGCAUAAUAACGUUACAUCAUCUUCCUCCAUGAUUUCUUGUUUUUCAGCAAUUUGAACGGUUACAUUCUUUGGAGAAACUGUU
Non-coding RNA from Pelobates cultripes (western spadefoot toad), 274 nucleotides. The record is from the annotation of a GenBank genome assembly. Lineage: Eukaryota; Metazoa; Chordata; Amphibia; Anura; Pelobatidae.